AUGGGAAAGCUCCGGGGCCAGCACUCGCGCCCGCCGGACGCCGCCGCCACCCUCCGCCUCGCCGCGCUCCUCCAGUCGUGCGGCCGCGCCGGGAGCCUCCGCCGCGGCCGCGCCCUCCACGCGCGCCUCGUGCUCUCCGGCGCGGCCGCCGCGUCCACCUUCCUCGCCAACCACCUCAUCACCAUGUACUCCCACUGCGCCGACGCCGGCUCCGCGGUACGCGUGUUCGGCGCCGUGCCCCGCCCCAACCUUGUCUCCUGGACGACGCUCGUCUCGGGCCUCACACAGAACUCCAUGCACCGCGACGCGCUCUCCGCCUUCUCCGCCAUGCGCCGCGCGGGACUCGCGCCCACGCAGUUCGCGCUCUCCAGCGCCGCGCGCGCCGCGGCCGCCCUGGCCGCCCUGUGCCCCGGCGCGCAGCUCCACUGCGUCGGCGUAAGGCUCGGAUUCGACACCGAGCUCUUCGUCGCGAGCAACCUCGCGGACAUGUACUCCAAGUGCGGGCACCUGGGUGAAGCUUGCAGGGUGUUUGACCAAAUGCCGCACAAGGAUGCUGUCACCUGGACUGCCAUGAUCGAUGGUUAUGCGAAGAACGGGAGCCUCUAUACAGCUGUUCUGGCUUUCCGGGAUAUGAAACGCGAGGGACUGGUUGGAGCUGACCAGCAUGUGUUCUGCAGUGCAUUGAGCGCAUCAGGAGGGCUCAAGGAUGGAAGGCUUGGCCGAAGCAUCCAUUGUUGUGUGAUGAAGGCGGGAUUUGAACUGGAAACUGUUGUGAGGAAUACACUAUCCGACAUGUAUGCUAAGUCUGAGGAUGUGGAGAAUGCCUCUCGUGUAGUGAAGAUUGACCCUGGAGGUUGGAAUGUUGUGUCAGGCACCUCGCUGAUCGACGGUUACAUUGAGGCCGAACGUGUUGAGGAGGCUCUUGGAAUGUAUAUUGAGCUGCGAAGGCAAGGUGUUGAGCCCAACGAGUUCACAUUCUCGAGCAUGAUCAAGGGUUGUGCCAUGCAAGCUCUGCUCGAACAAGGUGCUCAGCUGCAUGCUCAAGUGAUCAAGACAAGUUUGAUUGGUGACUCGUUUGUUGGUUCCACCCUUGUGGAUAUGUAUGGAAAAUGCGGCCUGAUAAAUUUGUCCAUUCAGUUAUUUAAUGAGAUUGGACACCACACUGAGAUUGCCUGGAAUGCGGUAAUCAAUGUAUAUGCACAACACGGUCAUGGUAGGGAAGCAAUCCAAGCUUUUGAUAGGAUGAACUCAAGUGGUAUCAGGCCAAAUCACAUUACAUUUGUCAGCCUGCUGACAGCAUGCAGUCAUGCUGGAUUAGUGAAGGAAGGACUAAAAUAUUUUUACUCCAUGAAGGAUGUCCAUGGUAUAGAGCCUAAAGAAGAGCACUAUUCCUGUAUCAUUGAUAUGUAUGGUCGAGCUGGAAGACUAAACGAAGCAGAGCAAUUCAUAAGCGAGAUGCCUGUCAAGCCCAAUGCGUAUGGUUGGUGCUCCUUGCUUGGAGCUUGCCGGAUGCGAGGAAACAAGGAGCUGGGUGAGAUUGCUGCGCAAAAUCUUAUGAAGCUUGAGCCAGAUAACACCGGUAUUCAUGUAUCCCUUUCUGGGAUAUACGCAUCCUUGGGCCAAUGGGAGGAUGUGAAGGCAGUCAGGAAAUUGAUGAGGGAUAGCAGGAUUAAGAAGCUGCCUGGUUUUAGCUGGGUCGAUGCUAACAAGAAAACGCAUGUGUUUGGAUCCGAGGAUUGGUCACACCCACAGCAGGAGCAGAUAUAUGAAAAACUCGAGCAACUUUCUGAGAGGAUAAAGGAGGAAGGUUAUGUCCCAGAUACAAGCUCCUUGUCACUUAACCUAGAAGAUAGUGCAAAGGAGAGGCUUCUGCGCUAUCACAGCGAGAGGAUUGCUGUAGCUUUUGCUUUGAUAAGCAUGCCAGCUACAAAACCGAUAAUUGUUAAGAAGAAUUUGAGGAUCUGUGUAGACUGCCACUCUGCAUUGAAGUUCAUUUCUAAGGUAGAAAGCAGGGAUAUCAUUGUUAGAGAUAAUUCCAGGUUCCACCAUUUUGUGAAAGGGAGGUGUUCCUGUGGAGAUUACUGGUGAAGUGGUGAUUAACUGACUCUCCUUUUUUGUUUGGGGCAUUUGCAAAUACUUCCCUGAUUUUUUAUUUUUUGCAAGGAUACCACUCGAAUGACCACCUGAUUUUGUGAAAGGGAGGUGUUCCUGUGGAGAUUACUGGUGAAGUGAGUCAUCAUCUGAUCAUCAGGAUCAUAAAUAGGCAACAUUGCUAUGAUUUAUAACUUCAGAGAAGUGAUUCUAGGGGCUUGGUUAUGGAAGCAUCAUAAUGAUUGUGUCUUCAAUGGUUCGACAGAGUGUCCAAAAAAUCUUUUGCCAAGCUGGAGACGAAGCCUGGCUUUGGUGUGACGCGGGGGCUAAAGUGUUGUUGCAACUCACCGUGAGUUGAUCUUGGUGCAGUUGUCAUCAUGAUCAUUUGUUUCAGUUCGUGGCAAGUUUUGUAACCUUACUUAAGCGGGUUUGUUUGUUUGGGUGUACUUGAACCUUUUUUUCUCCUUUAAUGCAAUGAUACGUAACUCUGCUACGUGACAGAAACAUGGUCUUCAAAUGCAAUACUACUGCACCUUGGACUUUGUCCAUAUCACUAAAAUUUCUAUAUAACUUAGUUAAAUAGAAAAAGGAACUAUUGGGAACUUCCAAGUCAUAUAAGACCUAUCUGAUGUGUAAAGUAGCUUGAUUAUUUUCUAACCGGGAUUUGAUCAACACGUGGUUACCUCUUCUUUCCACGUUAUGUGUCAAGUGUCAUCCAUGUAGAUCUAAAUUUAUGACCAUGUGCCACCAACUCUAGGAAGCCAGCUUGUGUGUCAUUUGAUCACUUUUCAUGCAGACAAUACCGUAUUAGCCUAUUAGGCAUUUGCAGGAGGUUUUUAACCUAUGAGAACUAAAGGCUACCAGUUAUUUAGUUCCUAUAUGCACUAGUUUAAUAUACAGUUCCUAUGCAACCUUGUGGCAGCAACAAUUAACUACAAUGUGGAAAGCACGUUCUGUUGAUUAUCUCCUAAGUCCUGACUCCUUACAUGAUACUACUAAUACUCCCGAUUUCCUUCCCCUAUUGUCAACAUUUAUGGCUCUUCAGUUUUAAUUAGCUUAUGCCUCGGAUUGCAACUGUCUAUCAUUUUUAAUGCUCAAUACCCUUUAGUCUUCUGAAACAAAAAACAUUACCACCCCUCACACAUCAGUGUUACCUAAAAGAGUCAAUUCCCUGUAUGUCAUUGGAACCUAUACUUUUCCCUUAUGAGCCAUCCAAAAUCUAAGUUUCCCUUCUCUGCCACUGGAUUAAAUUUGCCAUCCCUUCUAUACCACUUCUGUCAGUUGGCUGUUUUCCUGCUGUGAAGUCAUGGCUGAAAAGACGUUUAUGCCCCUCUUGAUGGGAAGAACCAAAUUUUGGAUAGUUCCCUUUCGUGCCAUUGCUCUCGGGGAAAUGCAUACAUGAAUAUGGAUGAAUAAGUACUCUAGGACAUAUAUGUGUGAGAUAAAAUAAUAACAAAUUGAACUUUGAAUCACCACACACAUACAUGAAUAUGGAUGAAUACACACAUACAUGUUGAUGUCAUUGGUUCAAACAGACCAAGCAAAAGCAAAAUGACAAGGUUUAGGGUAGCAUCAUUUGUACAUGGAAUUCUCAACUUCUUUAUAGGGUCCAAGCAAAAUGACCACAUGUUCCCACCAUUGGUUCACACAGACCAAGCAAAAUAACAACAGGUGCACUUCAUACAUAUUACAGACUGUACAAAAUAACUUAAAUGAAAUGCCUAGCUAGACAUUCAGUCUAGAAGUCUUCUUUUGCUUAUAGUACCCAUUGUAGGGCUUUGAGGUGUCACCGAAACAUGCUUCUUCUUUGCCUUUGCCUUCCCUUUAGCCUUUUUCUUCUCUAUAAGAUUGGAGGAGGCAGAUGGUGUCGUAGUUUCACAUGAA
Molecule: RNA transcript, 3975 nt
Organism: Phragmites australis (common reed)
Lineage: Eukaryota; Viridiplantae; Streptophyta; Magnoliopsida; Poales; Poaceae
Gene name: putative pentatricopeptide repeat-containing protein At5g52630
Exons: 2
Source: RefSeq, a predicted model, not a curated record